Long non-coding RNA from Etheostoma spectabile (orangethroat darter), 69 nucleotides. RefSeq lists it as uncharacterized. The transcript has 3 exons. Lineage: Eukaryota; Metazoa; Chordata; Actinopteri; Perciformes; Percidae. The record is from RefSeq and is a predicted model, not a curated record.
UAUUGUCAGUGAAUCACAGCCCUUUUGGUCCGUUGUAGAAACGCUGCCAAAUAUCCAGAAGCUAAAACC